UCCGGUUUGUCACCGGCAGUCUAUCUAGAGUGCCCAUCCGAAAUGCUGGCAACUAAAUAUAAGGGUUGCGCUCGUUGCGGGACUUAACCCAACAUCUCACGACACGAGCUGACGACAACCAUGCACCACCUGUCUCCUCUGUCCCGAAGGAAAGAUACAUCUCUGCAUCGAUCAGAGGGAUGUCAAGACCUGGUAAGGUUCUUCGCGUUGCUUCGAAUUAAACCACAUACUCCACUGCUUGUGCGGGUCCCCGUCAAUUCCUUUGAGUUUCAGUCUUGCGACCGUACUCCCCAGGCGGAGUGCUUAAUGUGUUAACUUCGGCACCAAGGGUAUCGAAACCCCUAACACCUAGCACUCAUCGUUUACGGCGUGGACUAC
RNAcentral lists this unclassified non-coding RNA (378 nucleotides) under uncultured Paenibacillaceae bacterium. RNAcentral describes it as "contains 16S-23S intergenic spacer region". The record is from RNAcentral. Lineage: Bacteria; Bacillati; Bacillota; Bacilli; Caryophanales; Paenibacillaceae.